AGAGUUUGAUCAUGGCUCAGAACGAACGCUGGCGGCGUGCCUAACACAUGCAAGUCGAGCGCGAAUGGAGCAAUCCUAGUAGAGCGGCGCACGGGUGCGUAACACGUGGAUAAUCUGCCUGGGCGUCUGGGAUAACCAGUCGAAAGAUUGGCUAAUACCGGAUAAGCCCCCGGGAGCUUCGGCUCUUGAGGGAAAAGGUGGCCUCUGUAUACAAGCUAUCACAUCCAGAUGAGUCCGCGGCCCAUCAGCUAGUUGGCGGGGUAAUGGCCCACCAAGGCAACGACGGGUAGCUGGUCUGAGAGGACGAUCAGCCACACUGGAACUGAGACACGGUCCAGACUCCUACGGGAGGCAGCAGUGGGGAAUUUUGCGCAAUGGGCGAAAGCCUGACGCAGCAACGCCGCGUGUGUGAUGAAGGUCUUUGGAUUGUAAAGCACUUUCGACCGGGACGAAAACCCCUGGGCUAAUACUCCAGGGCUUGACGGUACCGGGAGAAGAAGCACCGGCUAACUCUGUGCCAGCAGCCGCGGUAAUACAGAGGGUGCGAGCGUUGUUCGGAAUUAUUGGGCGUAAAGCGCGUGUAGGCGGCUUUGCAAGUCGGAUGUGAAAGCCCUCGGCUCAACCGAGGAAGUGCGUUCGAAACUGCAGAGCUUGAGUACCGGAGAGGGUGGCGGAAUUCCCCAAGUAGAGGUGAAAUUCGUAGAUAUGGGGAGGAACACCGGUGGCGAAGGCGGCCACCUGGACGGUCACUGACGCUGAGACGCGAAAGCGUGGGUAGCAAACAGGAUUAGAUACCCUAGUAGUCC
This 806-nucleotide ribosomal RNA is filed under the name uncultured bacterium. RNAcentral's name for it is "bacterial SSU rRNA". It matches the Rfam family "Bacterial small subunit ribosomal RNA", at positions 8 to 796 of the family's 1533-position model. The record is from RNAcentral.